Molecule: long non-coding RNA, 427 nt
Organism: Nycticebus coucang (slow loris)
Lineage: Eukaryota; Metazoa; Chordata; Mammalia; Primates; Lorisidae
Exons: 3
Source: RefSeq, a predicted model, not a curated record
CAAUGUUCGCACUAUCGCUGCUGGCAGAAGGUUUCAGGACAUCUUCUUGGACUGAAUGAGGCAAUGCAGAUGGACGGACACCUCCUUGGAGAAUGGCUUUGAGCAAGACUUGUGGGGCAGAGGGGAAAGAUUAAGAUGGGGGUACAAAUGACUAGAUUACACUGUGUGUGUAAAGUUCAAGAUGGAGUUGAGCCCUUCACCUGGGGGUGGAAUAGGGGUCAUGGAAUCCAAUCUUUCUCAGCAUCCCACUACCUGCAGAUGUGUUUGCCCCAUCCCAACAACCAACGGAUUGCUUCUCAAAGUGUGGUCACCAGCCUCAUCAUCAUCAUCAGCUGGAAACUUGUUCAAAAGAGAACUCUGAGGCCUCACUGCAGACCGAGGGAAUGAGAUUCUCUGGGGCAAAGCCUGGCUGUCUAUGAUUUACCAG